UUGCAAGGUAUAGACCCGAAACCCGGUGAUCUAGCCAUGGGCAGGUUGAAGGUUGGGUAACACUAACUGGAGGACCGAACCGACUAAUGUUGAAAAAUUAGCGGAUGACUUGUGGCUGGGGGUGAAAGGCCAAUCAAACCGGGAGAUAGCUGGUUCUCCCCGAAAGCUAUUUAGGUAGCGCCUCGUGAACUCAUCUUCGGGGGUAGAGCACUGUUUCGGCUAGGGGGUCAUCCCGACUUACCAAACCGAUGCAAACUCCGAAUACCGAAGAAUGUUAUCACGGGAGACACACGGCGGGUGCUAACGUCCGUCGUGAAGAGGGAAACAACCCAGACCGCCAGCUAAGGUCCCAAAGUCAUGGUUAAGUGGGAAACGAUGUGGGAAGGCAUAGACAGCCAGGAUGUUGGCUUAGAAGCAGCCAUCAUUUAAAGAAAGCGUAAUAGCUCACUGGUCGAGUCGGCCUGCGCGGAAGAUGUAACGGGGCUAAACCAUGCACCGAAGCUGCGGCAGCGACGCUUAGGCGUUGUUGGGUAGGGGAGCGUUCUGUAAGCCGUUGAAGGUGACCUGUGAGGGUUGCUGGAGGUAUCAGAAGUGCGAAUGCUGACAUAAGUAACGAUAAUGCGGGUGAAAAACCCGCACGCCGGAAGACCAAGGGUUCCUGUCCAACGUUAAUCGGGGCAGGGUGAGUCGACCCCUAAGGCGAGGCUGAAAAGCGUAGUCGAUGGGAAACAGGUUAAUAUUCCUGUACUUGGUGUUACUGCGAAGGGGGGACGGAGAAGGCUAGGCUAGCCGGGCGACGGUUGUCCCGGUUUAAGCAUGUAGGCGGAGUGACUUGGUAAAUCCGGUUGCUUAUCA
Molecule: ribosomal RNA, 855 nt
Filed under: Yersinia enterocolitica
Lineage: Bacteria; Pseudomonadati; Pseudomonadota; Gammaproteobacteria; Enterobacterales; Yersiniaceae
Description: partial 23S ribosomal RNA
Rfam family: Bacterial large subunit ribosomal RNA
Source: RNAcentral